Molecule: long non-coding RNA, 1976 nt
Organism: Mauremys mutica (yellowpond turtle)
Lineage: Eukaryota; Metazoa; Chordata; Testudines; Geoemydidae
Exons: 4
Source: RefSeq, a predicted model, not a curated record
CCACCCCACCCUGGGGGGAGCAACCGCGGCGGCCUCCGGGGGCGGCGAGGCAGUGCUGCAGGCGGGCCGCAGAGGCCAAACCUGGGCGGGGGGGGGUCCCCGCCUCCCUUCGCUGCCGCCCACAGGUCAGGGGACGCUGGGCAGUAAUUAAACAGCAAACAAACCUUGGGGCCCAGGCAAUAGCCCCUCAGCCGGCAGUUCCUGGCCCCUGGAGCGCCCACACUGUGCCAGCACCAGGAGAGGGGACCAGCCAGCGCAACACUUUGGUUCCUUGGGUUGUGAGCCCAGCAGGGAACGAAAGAACGGCCAUAUUGGGUCAGAGCAAAGGUCCAGCUAGCCCAGUGGCCUGUCUUCCAAUGCCAGGCGCCUCAGAGGCAAUGACCAGAACAGGUGACGGCCCCCAUGGAACUGCUGUGGCACAAGAGUGCCUGUGGCAUGGAGCUGGCAUAACCACCAUCCCAAAGAGCCCUAGGAGUAGGAGUGGCUGGCUAGGGAAUGAGGGUGUGACUGGAACACCGUAACUCUUUCCAGAUUCCAGAAGGUAAUUGGGCACAAGGUCCUGUUUUGGAAUAGAAGGAUGUGGAAAAGGCAGGAUCUCAGACAGUAUUUUGUGGGGAAUUGAAGGCCCGUCUCUAUCACAGACCACACUGUUGUGAUGCACAGUGUGCCAAAAGACCAAGAGUGGAACAGCUCACUGAAUCCAUGAAGCACCAAGUGACAUGGAUUAGAAUAGACUCCUGAAAGCAUUAAAGUGACAGUCUGUUUUUUCUAUCCUUAUUUUUAAGAAUUCACUAUGCAGAAUAAACCAUUGAGAGAUUAAAACUGAAGUCAGAUUUCUCCGCACAUGUUAUUGUAUUUUCCUGUCAUAGGCAUACAUAAAAGCAACCCUACAAUAAUAAACAUAAGUACUGGACCAUUGGCCUUCAACUUUUACUCUUUUUGCUUGUGAAUUGAAAAAGCAAUAUGUAUUUUUUUAAAUCACGUGUAUGGAGAAUUACAGAUUUGGGGGCUGAAAAAUGGGAUGAGGGCAGAGGAAGGUAUGGUAAAUUAUGUAUUGAACAAGAUUGAUUGUGCAAAAUAGUGCCAUUACCUGGACCCAAUCAAUGUCAUGUUAUAGAUUUUGUGUAGCAAGAUUAUGCACUAGCAUGACUUCAUAUAUUCUAAACUACCUUUUUCCUAGAUUUUUUUAUUCUAGGACCCAACCAGCCUGUGGCCAAUCCUUUUAUUAUGCUGUAUGCAUAUGCUCUAAAUCUGUUACAGGAGAAUUUCAGAGUUACGAACACCAGAGUUAGGAACUUAUCAGUCAACCACAUACUUAAUUUGGAACUGAAAGUACACAAUCAGGCAGCAGCAGAGACCAAAAAAAAAAAAAAGCAAAUACAGUACUGUACUGUGUUAACGUAAACUACUAAAAAAAAUAAAGGGAAAGCAGAAUUUUUCUUCUUCAUAGUAAAGUUUCAAAGCUGUAUUAAGUCCAUGUUCAGUUGUAAAUUUAGAAAAGAACAACCACAAUGUUACCACCAGAGUUACCAACAUUUCAGAGUUAUGAACAACCUCCAUUUCUGAGGUGUUUGUAACUCUGAGGUUCUACUGUAAUAAGGGGGCUUCAGAGAGUAAACAAUCUUUCUCUGCUCUGCAAUAAAACAUUGGGUCUUUGCUUGUUGAUUUUUCUGGACAAAUAUUACAAGUAUUAGAAGUCCUGCCACUUUAGAUUUAUUUCUUCAUCAUUUACAAUAAACUGUACCAACAAUUAUGUUCUUCAAUGAUUUUAGAAAACUGUCUUCCUUAAAAAUAUGUAAACAUGUGAAUCCUUUUUAAAGUUGCCUGAAAUAUAUAGUUGUGUGAUGCCAUCUAAACAAGCUAAUGUAUGUACUGAUAAACUAAAAAGAAAGAUACAUCAACCUUACACACCUCAUCCAGUGUUCAUAUUGGAUGCACUAACAAAAGUAAAGUAAUUAAUUAAGACACCGUUUACA